Molecule: ribosomal RNA, 548 nt
Filed under: uncultured Glomus
Lineage: Eukaryota; Fungi; Glomeromycota; Glomeromycetes; Glomerales; Glomeraceae
Description: SSU rRNA
Rfam family: Eukaryotic small subunit ribosomal RNA
Source: RNAcentral
UUGGAGGGCAAGUCUGGUGCCAGCAGCCGCGGUAAUUCCAGCUCCAAUAGCGUAUAUUAAAGUUGUUGCAGUUAAAAAGCUCGUAGUUGAAUUUCGGGAUCAGUACGCCGGUCGUGCCUUCGGUACGUACUGGUGUCACUGAUUCCUCCCUUCUGACGAACCGUCAUGCCAUUCACUUGGUGUGGCGGGGAAUCAGGACUGUUACUUUGAAAAAAUUAGAGUGUUUAAAGCAGGCUCACGCUUGAAUACAUUAGCAUGGAAUAAUGAAAUAGGACGUUGAUCUUAUUUUGUUGGUUUCUAGGAUUGACGUAAUGAUUAAUAGGGAUAGUUGGGGACAUUAGUAUUCAAUUGUCAGAGGUGAAAUUCUUGGAUUUAUUGAAGACUAACUACUGCGAAAGCAUUUGCCAAGGAUGUUUUCAUUAAUCAAGAACGAAAGUUAGGGGAUCGAAGACGAUCAGAUACCGUCGUAGUCUUAACCAUAAACUAUGCCGACUAGGGAUCGGAUGAUGUUAAUUUUUUAAUGACUCAUUCGGCGCCUUACGGGAAAC